Molecule: ribosomal RNA, 253 nt
Filed under: uncultured prokaryote
Description: partial 16S ribosomal RNA
Rfam family: Bacterial small subunit ribosomal RNA
Source: RNAcentral
ACGUAGGGCGCGAGCGUUGUCCGGAUUUAUUGGGCGUAAAGAGCUCGUAGGCGGCUCAUUGCGUCAACCGUGAAAACCUGCCGCUCAACGGUAGGCUUGCGGUUGAUACGGGUGGGCUGGAGUUCGGUAGGGGAGACUGGAAUUCCUGGUGUAGCGGUGAAAUGCGUAGAGAUCGAGAGGAACACCAGUGGCGAAGGCGAGUUCCUGGACAAGUCCUGACGCUGAGGCACGAAAGCCAGGGGAGCAAACAGGA